Long non-coding RNA from Jatropha curcas, 421 nucleotides. RefSeq lists it as uncharacterized. The record is from RefSeq and is a predicted model, not a curated record. NCBI's taxonomy places the organism in Eukaryota, Viridiplantae, Streptophyta, Magnoliopsida, Malpighiales, Euphorbiaceae.
AAAAAAUUAUAUUAAUGAAAGUCUUCCGUUGUCUUCUCGAAGCCAACUCGCUGUCCAAGAAGCUUCACGGAGAGAGAGAGACAGAGAGAGAGAGAGAGAGAGGCGAUGAAGAUCUUCGGAAAAUACGUAUCUCCAGGGCAAAUAAUGCUGAUGGCUUCUGGGGUUGUGUUCUUGGCUUCAACAACGUAUGACGUGCAUAGAUCUAUAAAGAACAACGAAACCCCGCCGUCUAAAGAACAAAUGGAAGCCCUUGAAGAUUAUAUCAGAUCCAAACGUGCUUCUCCUUAAUCUGUUGCCCAAAAAACAGUCUUUUCGUGUUAUUUAUGUUCUCGUGUGCAUUUGGUUAUUCAAGAGAGAAAAAAAGAAAAAAAGCAUAUGUAUUUUUUAUCGUUGUAUUUAAUAAAAUAUUAUAUUAGUGAUA